CCCGCUGAACUUAAGCAUAUCAAUAAGCGGAGGAAAAGAAACUAACAAGGAUUCCCCUAGUAACUGCGAGUGAAGCGGGAAAAGCUCAAAUUUGAAAUCUGGCGGCCCCGCCGUCCGAGUUGUAUUCCGGAGAAGCGUUUUCCGCGCCAGACCGCAUACAAGUCUGUUGGAAUACAGCGUCAUAGUGGUGAGAACCCCGUACGUGAUGCGGAUGCCUGGUGCUUUGUGAUACACUUUCGAAGAGUCGAGUUGUUUGGGAAUGCAGCUCAAAUUGGGUGGUAAAUUCCAUCUAAAGCUAAAUAUUGGCGAGAGACCGAUAGCGAACAAGUACCGUGAGGGAAAGAUGAAAAGCACUUUGGAAAGAGAGUUAACAGUACGUGAAAUUGUUGGAAGGGAAACGCUUGAAGUCAGACUUGCUAUGUGGAGUUCAACCGCAAGGUGUAUUCUUCGCUUCGCAGGCCAGCAUCAGUUUUCGGGGGUGGAAAAGGGUAGAGAGAAGGUAGCUGUCUCGGCAGUGUUAUAGCUCUUUACUGGAUUCAUCCUUGGGGACUGAGGAACGCAGUACGCUUUUUGCAAGGCUCUCGGGCUUUUCCGUACUUAGGAUGCUGGUGGAAUGGCUUUAAACGACCCGUCUUGAAACACGG
RNAcentral lists this ribosomal RNA (644 nucleotides) under uncultured fungus. RNAcentral describes it as "eukaryotic LSU rRNA". It matches the Rfam family "Eukaryotic large subunit ribosomal RNA", at positions 24 to 664 of the family's 3401-position model. The record is from RNAcentral. Lineage: Eukaryota; Fungi.